Molecule: unclassified non-coding RNA, 159 nt
Filed under: uncultured Leotiomycetes
Lineage: Eukaryota; Fungi; Ascomycota; Leotiomycetes
Description: sequence contains ITS1
Source: RNAcentral
CAGAGAACAUCGCCCUCACGGGUGACUCUCCAACCCUAUGUUAUUAAAACCUUUGUUGCUUUGGCGAGCCGCUUCGGCCACCGGCCUCUGCUGGUGUGCGCUCGCCAGAGGACCCCACACUCUGUUUAUUAGUGUCGUCUGAGUACUAUAUAAUAGUUA